Molecule: ribosomal RNA, 346 nt
Filed under: uncultured bacterium
Lineage: Bacteria
Description: partial 16S ribosomal RNA
Rfam family: Bacterial small subunit ribosomal RNA
Source: RNAcentral
CCUACGGGUGGCAGCAGUGAGGAAUAUUGGUCAAUGGACGCAAGUCUGAACCAGCCAUGCCGCGUGCAGGAAGACGGCUCUAUGAGGUGUAAACUGCGUUUGUACGAGGGUAAACGCAGAUACGCGUAGCUGUCUGAAAGUAGCGUACGAAUAAGGAUCGGCUAACUCCGUGCCAGCAGCCGCGGUAAUACGGAGGAUUCAAGCGUUAUCCGGAUUUAUUGGGGUUAAAGGGUGCGUAGGCGGUCGGAUAAGUUAGAGGUGAAAUCCCGAGGCUCAACUUCGGAAUUGCCUCUGAUACUGUUCGGCUAGUGCGUAGUUGCGGUAGUCGGAAUGUAUGGUGUAGCGG